RNAcentral lists this ribosomal RNA (328 nucleotides) under uncultured eukaryote. RNAcentral's name for it is "partial 18S ribosomal RNA". It matches the Rfam family "Eukaryotic small subunit ribosomal RNA", at positions 1470 to 1796 of the family's 1831-position model. The record is from RNAcentral.
CCCUUAGAUGUCCUGGGCCGCACGCGCGUUACACUGAUGCAUUCAACGAGCUUAUAACCUUGGCCGAGAGGCCUGGGCAAUCUUGUUAACGUGCAUCGUGAUAGGGAUAGAUUAUUGAAAUUAUUAAUCUUUAACGAGGAAUUCCUAGUAAACGCAGAUCAUCAAUCUGCAUUGAUUACGUCCCUGCCCUUUGUACACACCGCCCGUCGCACCUACCGAUUGGAUGGUCCGGUGAAGCCUCGGGAUUGUGGUUCUUGCCGCUUUAUUGUGGCGUGACCGCGAGAACUUGUCUAAACCUUAUCAUCUAGAGGAAGGUGAAGUCGUAACA